AUUAGGACAACAAGAAUUUUUGUUGAUAGAAGAGUAUUUUGUUUGAUUUUUUUAUCAAUAUAUUGUAUUUUUUAAAUAAAUUUUUCAAAAAUUCUAUUUUAGGAAAGUUUUCAUUUUUGUAGAGAAAUAUUGUACAUUUGGGAUUGUGGUUUAGAGAUUAGGACAACAAGAAUAUUUGUUGAUAGAAGAGUAUUUUGUUUGAUUUUUUUUAUCAAUAUAUCGUAUUUUUUAAAUAAAAUUUUCAAAAUUCUAUUUUAGGAACGUUUUCAUUUUUGUAGAGAAAUAUUGUACAUUUGGGAUUGUGGUUUAGUGAUUAGGACAACAAGAAUUUUUGUUGAUAGAAGAGUAUUUUGUUUGAUUUUUUUAUCAAUAUAUUGUAUUUUUUU
RNAcentral lists this long non-coding RNA (386 nucleotides) under Brassica napus (rape). RNAcentral describes it as "long non-coding RNA (BNAP_LNC026552)". The record is from RNAcentral. Lineage: Eukaryota; Viridiplantae; Streptophyta; Magnoliopsida; Brassicales; Brassicaceae.